This 253-nucleotide ribosomal RNA is filed under the name uncultured bacterium. RNAcentral describes it as "partial 16S ribosomal RNA". It matches the Rfam family "Bacterial small subunit ribosomal RNA", at positions 524 to 776 of the family's 1533-position model. The record is from RNAcentral.
UACGGAGGAUGCAAGCGUUAUCCGGAAUCAUUGGGUUUAAAGGGUGCGUAGGCGGACUAGUAAGUCAGCGGUGAAAGCCUGCAGCUUAACUGUAGAAUUGCCUUUGAUACUGUUGUGCUUGAAUUAGGAUGAGGUCGGCGGAAUGUGGCAUGUAGCGGUGAAAUGCAUAGAUAUGCCAUAGAACACCAAUUGCGAAGGCAGCCGGCUAGGCCUGGAUUGACGCUGAGGCACGAAAGCGUGGGGAGCGAACAGG